UACGUAGGGUGCGAGCGUUAAUCGGAAUUACUGGGCGUAAAGUGUGCGCAGGUGGCUGAGCAAGUCGAGUGUGAAAUCCCCGGGCUUAACUUGGGAAUUGCGCUCGAAACUACUUGGCUCGAGUGUGGCAGAGGAAGGUGGAAUUCCAGGUGUAGCGGUGAAAUGCGUAGAGAUCUGGAGGAACACCGAUGGCGAAGGCAGCCUUCUGGGCCAACACUGACGCUCAUGCACGAAAGCGUGGGAAGCAAACAGG
Molecule: ribosomal RNA, 253 nt
Filed under: uncultured bacterium
Lineage: Bacteria
Description: partial 16S ribosomal RNA
Rfam family: Bacterial small subunit ribosomal RNA
Source: RNAcentral